AGAUGAGGGGGUAGGGAUGGAGGCAUCAUGUAAUUUCCGUUAGCUAUUUAAAAAGGGGGCAGAAAUUCCAGAAGGAAGAAGUUCCUUCUAAUGGGAAUUGCACAGUUCGAGAAGAAAUGCUGCAAAGCUAAGCUGAAAAAUGGAUAUUGUGGCUGUCCUUCAAGCAUUGUUGCAACAUAAACCUUGCUACAUUGAUCCCUACAGCAAAAUAUAGGUACAUCAUUCUUCCAGGGGAGAGAUGAGAGAGCGCUCAAAACCAAAAAACCCAAAACUUUUUAUACCUGGUGGGAGGGGAAUGUGCAGUGAUGCAUCAUGGAACUUGUAUGCUUAACAUGAGGGACGGCAAUACCAAUGUUUGCUUAUGUAAUAAAGCAGAUUGACAUUUUA
This is a long non-coding RNA of Notechis scutatus (mainland tiger snake), 387 nucleotides long. RefSeq lists it as uncharacterized. NCBI's taxonomy places the organism in Eukaryota, Metazoa, Chordata, Lepidosauria, Squamata, Elapidae. The record is from RefSeq and is a predicted model, not a curated record.